Molecule: transfer RNA, 72 nt
Filed under: Candidatus Colwellbacteria bacterium RIFCSPHIGHO2_02_FULL_45_17
Lineage: Bacteria; Candidatus Colwelliibacteriota
Description: tRNA-Pro
Rfam family: tRNA
About the family: Transfer RNA (tRNA) molecules are approximately 80 nucleotides in length. Their secondary structure includes four short double-helical elements and three loops (D, anti-codon, and T loops). Further hydrogen bonds mediate the characteristic L-shaped molecular structure. tRNAs have two regions of fundamental functional importance: the anti-codon, which is responsible for specific mRNA codon recognition, and the 3' end, to which the tRNAs corresponding amino acid is attached (by aminoacyl-tRNA synthetases). tRNAs cope with the degeneracy of the genetic code in two manners: having more than one tRNA (with a specific anti-codon) for a particular amino acid; and 'wobble' base-pairing, i.e. permitting non-standard base-pairing at the 3rd anti-codon position.
Source: RNAcentral
CGGGCCGUGGUGUUAACGGUAGCACGCAUGGCUGGGGGUCAUGUGGUUCGGGUUCGAAUCCCGGCGGCCCGA